Long non-coding RNA from Physeter macrocephalus (sperm whale), 712 nucleotides. RefSeq lists it as uncharacterized. The record is from RefSeq and is a predicted model, not a curated record. The transcript has 2 exons. NCBI's taxonomy places the organism in Eukaryota, Metazoa, Chordata, Mammalia, Artiodactyla, Physeteridae.
CUGCUAUUGGCACAUUCUCAAGAACACACUGUCCUCUUCUGGCCUCAGACUUGCACAGGACACCCGAAGGACAGACACUGGCUUUCUACAAGCUUCCUUUCCACCCUUGCCACACGGGAACCCACAGAGGGAGGUGUGUCAAGACCCAAACAGAUCCCACAGCGGAAUCGUUUCCAAAUAGACCCCUCCCCAAAAGCUGUAGCCGUGGCCAGGAAGAAAUCCGCCCCCUCCGAAGGUUGUUUUUGUGAGCGCUCUUGGGAGCAUUGUUCUAAAAAUGGGAAAUUACAUAUCACUGUGCCAAAGGAAACAAACACCUGCAGUUAAAGGGAUACCUUCCACCAGGUGGCUUUUAGAGUCCCAGCCAGCUCUGGACCAAGGGCUGUUGCACCAGUUCUUUUUGGUGCGUUUCUUCACUUCUAAGGGAAUCGGGUUUGUAACCAGAGUGGGCUUUGGCAACGAUGGGGCUCGGUUGAUGGUCCUUCACUUAUUCACUCAGUAAACAUCUAUCAAGCAUCUGUGCUGGGUCAGUGUUAGUGGUUUCACUACUCCCUUCCCUGGCGUUGUUAAAAUUACUGGGAGCGUUGGCUGCAGGCAGCGACUUUCUGACACUGUUUUUCAGAGUCAGUAUUUGACUUCCGCCCCCAGAUGAUGAGGAGCCAGAGAGAACAUCAACUUCUUCUCUCCUUCCUCUCCUUUCUUUCUCCCCUCCCUC